Molecule: ribosomal RNA, 469 nt
Filed under: uncultured bacterium
Lineage: Bacteria
Description: partial 16S ribosomal RNA
Rfam family: Bacterial small subunit ribosomal RNA
Source: RNAcentral
GACGAACGCUGGCGGCGUGCUUAACACAUGCAAGUCGAACGGAAAGGCCCUGCUUGCAGGGUGCGCGAGUGGCGAACGGGUGAGUCACACGUGGAACAUCUGCCCCUUACUUUGGGAUAAGCAUGGGAAACGGGGUCUAAUACUAGAUAGGACCCUGCUGCAGGUGGGGUGGUGGAAAGAUUAGUUUCGGUGGGGGGUGAGCUCGCGGCCUAUCAGCGUGUUGGUGGGGUGGUGGCCUACAAGGGCGUCGACGGGGGGCCCGCCUGAGAGGGGGUGAGGCGCCAUUUUGACUCUGAGACGGCGCAGAGUCCUACGGGAGGCAGCAGUGGGGAAUAUUGCACAAUGUGCGCAAGCCUCAUGCAGCGACGCCGCGUGGGGGAUGUCGGCCUUCUGGUUGUAAACUCCGUUCAGCCAUGACGCAGCGCUUGUGGUGACGGUAGUGGUAGAAGAAGCACCGGCUAACUACGUG